AGCAACAACCGAGGUUGUAAGGUAAAGGCUGAAUAUUGUAGAUUUAUUACAAUAUGUUGCAUGUUUGAAUUAAAAUACCUGUGGAUAUGCAACUUCCCACUAAUGAAAGUUUUAUUCAAAAGGAGCACACACUCUACAAAGGCCUGACUGGAGAUUUGCCUGAUCUAUCCGUCCUUCAGAUGACAGCGGCUCGCUUCAAGAGCAGGUGAAGCAAGUUGGGACAAUGUUGAAGACAUUUGCUCGCACUGGGCAAUCAGGUGCAGAUCAAACCCUAAUGCUGCGACGUCUUGGAAUUUGGCGAUGUUGUGCGUAGCAUGGACGACAAAAUGCUAUGCUGCAACGUUUCAGUGCCAAUGUGUCUGUUGGAGAGUUAUCCCUGCCAGGGGAUCUGUUACUCCCCCCUAGACACCCAGGAAGAUUUGGCGUUGCUUGACAACAGUUUGAGGCAGGAUAAAGAGC
Long non-coding RNA from Xyrauchen texanus (razorback sucker), 459 nucleotides. RefSeq lists it as uncharacterized. The transcript has 3 exons. NCBI's taxonomy places the organism in Eukaryota, Metazoa, Chordata, Actinopteri, Cypriniformes, Catostomidae. The record is from RefSeq and is a predicted model, not a curated record.